This 374-nucleotide ribosomal RNA is filed under the name uncultured organism. Its description in RNAcentral is "partial 16S ribosomal RNA". It matches the Rfam family "Bacterial small subunit ribosomal RNA", at positions 527 to 896 of the family's 1533-position model. The record is from RNAcentral.
GUAGGUGGCAAGCGUUGUCCGGAAUUAUUGGGGCGUAAAGCGCGCGCAGGCGGUUCUUUAAGUCUGAUGUGAAAGCCCACGGGCUCAACCGUGGAGGGUCAUUGGAAACUGGAGAACUUGAGUACAGAAGAGGAAAGCGGAAUUCCACGUGUAGCGGUGAAAUGCGUAGAGAUGUGGAGGAACACCAGUGGCGAAGGCGGCUUUCUGGUCUGUAACUGACGCUGAGGCGCGAAAGCGUGGGGAGCAAACAGGAUUAGAUACCCUGGUAGUCCACGCCGUAAACGAUGAGUGCUAAGUGUUAGGGGGUCUCCGCCCCUUAGUGCUGCAGCUAACGCAUUAAGCACUCCGCCUGGGGAGUACGGCCGCAAAGGCUG